UACGGGGGGGGCAAGCGUUGUUCGGAAUUACUGGGCGUAAAGGGCUCGUAGGCGGCCAACUAAGUCAUACGUGAAAUCCCUCGGCUUAACCGGGGAACUGCGUCUGAUACUGGAUGGCUUGAGUUCGGGAGAGGGAUGCGGAAUUCCAGGUGUAGCGGUGAAAUGCAUAGAUAUCUGGAGGAACACCGGUGGCGAAGGCGGCAUCCUGGACCGAUACUGACGCUGAGGAGCGAAAGCCAGGGGAGCAAACGGG
Molecule: ribosomal RNA, 253 nt
Filed under: uncultured bacterium
Lineage: Bacteria
Description: partial 16S ribosomal RNA
Rfam family: Bacterial small subunit ribosomal RNA
Source: RNAcentral